UUAAAAAGCUCGUAGUUGGAUUUCUGAGAGGGUGCCAAUGUCCGCCGACGUGCGUGCGCAGCGGCGCCCUUCCAUCCUUCUGUUAACGCCUCUUGGCAUUCAUUUGCUGGUGGCGGGCUCAGAUAUUUUACCUUGAGAAAAUUAGAGUGUUUCAGGCAGGCUAGGCCGGAAUACAUUAGCAUGGAAUAAUGGAAUAGGACUACGGUCUCUUAGUUGGUUUGAGGGACUGCAGUAAUGAUUAAUAGGGAUAGUUGGGGGCAUUAGUAUUUAAUUGUCAGAGGUGGAAUUCUCGGAUUUGUUAAAGACUAGCUUAUG
This 315-nucleotide ribosomal RNA is filed under the name uncultured marine eukaryote. RNAcentral describes it as "SSU rRNA". It matches the Rfam family "Eukaryotic small subunit ribosomal RNA", at positions 619 to 945 of the family's 1831-position model. The record is from RNAcentral.